ACCAGGCACAGUGGUGCAUGCCUGUAAUCCCAGAAGCUUCGGAGAUUGAGGCAGGAGGAUCAUAAGUUCAAACAGCUUCAGCAAUUUAAGGAAGCCUUAAGCAACUUAGUGAGACCCUGUCUCAA
RNAcentral lists this small RNA (125 nucleotides) under Marmota monax (woodchuck). The record is from RNAcentral. Lineage: Eukaryota; Metazoa; Chordata; Mammalia; Rodentia; Sciuridae.